Vigna angularis (adzuki bean) is the source of this 280-nucleotide long non-coding RNA. RefSeq lists it as uncharacterized. The transcript is spliced from 3 exons. Lineage: Eukaryota; Viridiplantae; Streptophyta; Magnoliopsida; Fabales; Fabaceae. The record is from RefSeq and is a predicted model, not a curated record.
AAAUGAUUGCUGCCAAAUUUUUGUGAGAGAGGAGAAGUUCUUGCUGCAAGUUUUGGGAAAGAGGAGAAGUGGAGAACUUUUGAAGUUUUGGAGGAGAUAGACUCAAAGAAUUCACAAAGGAAGUCUUCAAGAGGUGGGUUUCUGAGCGUUCGUUCAUAUAUAGUGGAUUAACGAGCGUUGGUGAUAAGGAUUUGAGUAGAGAGCGUCUGUGUGCGCCUGUGAACGUUCGUUCAUUCCAGAUGAAGAUGAACAUUUGGAAGAAAUGCUGGAAGAAGAGAAU